RNAcentral lists this ribosomal RNA (508 nucleotides) under uncultured bacterium. RNAcentral describes it as "partial 16S ribosomal RNA". It matches the Rfam family "Bacterial small subunit ribosomal RNA", at positions 30 to 523 of the family's 1533-position model. The record is from RNAcentral.
AUUGAACGCUAGCUACAGGCUUAACACAUGCAAGUCGAGGGGAAACGACAUCGAAAGCUUGCUUUUGAUGGGCGUCGACCGGCGCACGGGUGAGUAACGCGUAUCCAACCUGCCCAUCACUUGGGGAUAACCUUGCGAAAGUAAGACUAAUACCCAGUGAUAUCUCUAGAAGACAUCUGAAAGAGAUUAAAGAUUUAUCGGUGAUGGAUGGGGAUGCGUCUGAUUAGCUUGUUGGCGGGGUAACGGCCCACCAAGGCGACGAUCAGUAGGGGUUCUGAGAGGAAGGUCCCCAACAUUGGAACUGAGACACGGUCCAAACUCCUACGGGAGGCAGCAGUGAGGAAUAUUGGUCAAUGGGCGAGAGCCUGAACCAGCCAAGUAGCGUGCAGGAAGACGGCCCUAUGGGUUGUAAACUGCUUUUAUAAGGGAAUAAAGUGAGUCUCGUGAGACUUUUUGCAUGUACCUUAUGAAUAAGGACCGGCUAAUUCCGUGCCAGCCGCCGCAGUAA